Molecule: long non-coding RNA, 7110 nt
Filed under: Lactuca sativa (garden lettuce)
Lineage: Eukaryota; Viridiplantae; Streptophyta; Magnoliopsida; Asterales; Asteraceae
Description: long non-coding RNA (LSAT_LNC002613)
Source: RNAcentral
AUUAGGAUAAUACCUUGGAAGUUCUUAUUUGCAUGUAUAAUAGAGAAAACAUAGAUCCAAGGUAUUUAGGGUUGCAUGUACACUUAGGAAGUGUUAGAAUGCUCAAAACCCAACAGUGGUAUCAGAGCCACGGGUUGUUUUCUGUUAUAUUGAUGCAAAUAUUUUAUUUUCAAAGUUGAAAAAAAAAAAAAAAAAAAACAUGAAGUUUGUCAAAUUUUAAGAUAAUUACUUGUUCUUGUGAAAAACUAAUUAUUUGUAAAAUUUGAAUAAUUUGCUUUAUGAGUUGAAUUAGGUCAAAUUUAAUAAAAGAUAAAAUAAUAUGAUUAUUUUAUUAGUUUUAAAAGUUUGAUCUAAAGAGUUUUAUUUUUUGAAACCUCCAUAAGUUAUGGAUAUGAAAAGGUUUUAAAAAAAAAAUUGAUUCAAAGUUUUUUUGGAGUUACAAAAUUUGGUGUUAAUGUUUUAAAGGAUUCCAUAACUUAAGAAUAAGUUAUGGAUCACCAAAAGUUUUUUGUGUUACCUUGUUUUAUGAGUGAAUUUAGAUUAAUGAAUAAAAUUAUGUGAUAGUUGGUUUUAAUCCAAAUUAAUCUAAGAAUUGAUUCUAAAAUGUGUUUUUGUAACUUGUCCUCAAGUUAUAUGAAAAGUCACAUUUAAGAAUCAUAAAACUCAUAAAAAUUGGCAAAGGUUACAAAAAUGAAGAGUCUAGUUCUAAUUAAAUGGUUUUAUGACUCCAUAACUUGUCCUCAAGUUAUGGAGGACCAAGAGUCUCUUCAUUUAAUAAAAUAAAAUAAAAAAAAAAAAAGUGUAACCUUAAUUAAUUCCAUAAGUUAUAAAAUAAAGAAAAGUUAAUUCUUUUAUUAGUUUAAAGUCUUCCAUAACUUGUCCUCAAGUUAUGGAACUUGAAGAGUUUUUGGAUUAAAACUACUUUAAACACAUAAGUUAUGGAAUUAAUUAGUUUUGAAUAGUUUCAAAACUUGCCCUCAAGUUUUGGAAUUUGUAAAGUUUUCACUUAUGAAUACUUUAAUUCCAAGUUAGCCCUUAGAAUUUUAAAAGUUAAAAUUCAACCCUUAUACUUUAUAAUAUUAUAAGUUAAUAAUAUAUAUAUGUAUAAGAGUAAAGUCAGUCUUACCGCUAGUACGCCUCAUUCACGAAGCCGGUCUAUAAGGUGGGUAUAAGGUUGUUGCCUAUAAAAUGGCAACUUAAUGGGUGUCCACUCUCACCCACCGCUUGCUUGACUGGUGGAGGGUCGUUAGCCGAACGGGUUUGACAGGACUAGAAUUCUCCCUUCAUUAAAAGUAUUAAUGAUAAUACUAAGUAACUAAACUCUUAAUAAUACCCAAUCUUAGUUACUUAGGAAAAAUGUGAAUAAGGUGCUAAUCCAUGAAAUUACACUUUACACUUUGUCUAAGUCGUUAGUGGAGCGUGUGUGGUUAACCGGCACACUAACUUGGACUUAACAAGGUAGGUAAAGGGUGACUUAAUAUUUAUCAUAGUAUCGAUGGAGCGUGUGUGGUUAACCGGCACAUCGAUUGAGGGGUAAUUUAUUAAGGGUACCAAGUGAUUUGCAUGGUUACUUCACACCUUGUUUUGUGAUCCUCGGCAUCCCAGUCACAAAACCUGAAGGGCACACUCGAGAUUGAAACAUGCCUUUGAAAAGUUCAAUGAAUCUCAAAGAUCUAGGAGUUUCAAAACCAAUUAAAACCUAAUAAUACAUUUCGUUUAUCUUGGUGGAAAUUGGUGAAUCGUCAUUCACCUACCUUCAAAUAUUUUAUAGCUUGGAUUACGGCAUACCUCUUCUAAGUUAUAAAAUAGUUUGUUGGGUCCUAGCCUUAAUAUUUCAUAUUGGGUGUCAUAUUAAGGACUUUAAAUCAACUAUCUUGAAUAUCUCCCAAAAGAUGUCUGGUUUAGACACCUAUGAUCUUCCCAAAUCUCUUGAAACAAGGUUUCCUAAUGAAGAUGAUGUCCCAUGGAUAUCAUACUUCUUCACCUCUUCAAAUUAUUCUCCCUAACCCACAAGUUCUUGAAAAGUUUAAGGUCACUCAGGCCCUUUUGGCAAGGCAAGGUCUAGGUGUGGUCACAUCUUGGAGAUGUAGUCACAUAUUGACAAGCCGGGAGAGUUGGGUGUCAAAGUCUUGAGAAAGUUGGUGGUUCAACUACUUUCUAAGUCACAUAGUGAGUUCUUUUGGAACACCUAUGAAAAAGACUAUGACAAGACCCUUAAUGAUCUUAUCUAUUUGUUAAGAUCAACUUCCUAAAACUUUAUGGACAUUGACAAUGAUGACAUUGGAUAUCCAGUAAAGCAUUCUCUUCCCAAUGGAAAGGGAUCGGCUAUAGUCAACUCGGUUGACCAAAUGGUAAAGAGAAAAGCUAAGUCUGUGAUAGUCCUGUGUACCAUUAUCAAAGGGUCCAUAUGUUUGUAUUGCCAAAGAAAGGGCAUUGGUUGCGAAGCUGCCAAAUUUACCUAAGGAUGUUAAAGUCAAUAAGUUUGACUCUACUUCAGGUAAAAUCCACUAUCUAACUCUGUUAAGUUUCUAUUCUGAGAUUCUUGAUACAUGAUGUGACCGGGUCGCAUGGUGAUGGUUUAAGAAUCAAAGGAAAGUGAAGAAACUUAAAGGAAGAAUAUGCUGAAUCUGAUCGCAUAGAUGGAUUUCUAUCGCAUAGUUUGAAAAAUCGGAUUCUUGAGCUACUUCUUAGGAGUUAUGAGAUAUUGCUUAGGAAUAGAUAACAACAAGUUUUCAUAUGGAUUGUAAGGAUAGUUUUUCCGCAAAGUUUUAAAAUAAAAGGAAAUUUUUGAUUUUAUUUAUUUUAAAAUAUCCUUACAAUGGCAUCUGUGGAAAUUUUUGUUGCUUAUAAGAUUCCAUUAGUAGCAAGAGUGGAAGUAUGAAAUUGAUUCUUUCAUUUGUGGUAAUGUCUAAAUUUACCAAAUAAGGAAAGAUUCUCAUCACCCAAGUUUCAAUUGGACCGGAACUUGGAAUCAUGCAAGUUGUAUAGCAUGAUGAAUGAGAACUUUCAAGUUUUGGAAAAUUAAGACUAAUUACUUGUUCACAUGGAUGUGUGAGUCAAGUAAAGGACUUAGGGAUCGAGUACACAUUCUUGUGCACUGAUUAAGUCCACCACUAAAGAUCGAUAAGAAGAAUCAAAUAAGGCAGAAGGAUAAAAGUUUCUCAAAUCUGAAAAGAUGGGAGAGUACUUUAGUAUCAGUUUUGUGAUCAUCUUAAUGAUUAAGAAACCAUAUCAAAAUUAGUUCUCUAAGGAAAUCUUAGUGCAUUCUUAUGACUAAGAAGAGGAACUUGAAUUGUUGAAAUGGUUAAAUCAAGAAGAUGAGUCAUACUUCGUUCCAAUACAAGUCUUAGAGUCAUACUCCAAGAUUGUCAUUUGAGUGACAUGUCUUAAAGAAGGUUUAAAACACUUGUCAAAUGUAAGAGUAAAAGUUUUCUACUCUUGUACAUUUGAAAUUGGUAAGUUGUGAUGUUUUGGAUAAAACAAAGACCAACUUAGGCCAAUUGGGUAAAGUGUUUUUCUUGAUUAGAAUCCGCACUAUCUCUUGGAUGUUUGACAAGGGAGUCUUAUAUGUCAAGAGGACAGUGGGAGUCUUAAAGGUCUUGAAAGUCUCAAGAACUAAUCAAGAAUAAAACCUGAAGUUCUUCACUAGCACACGACUUGAGGUUUAUAACCUAUCGUGUUGACAUAUCUGUGCCCAUUCCAGUUAAAGUUGGCUUUGCAUAUGAGUUCUUAGAGUUCUCAGUUUGUUGCAUAACAACUUGGAAGCAAUGGCAGGCCCUUGAGCUGCCAGGUGGCAAGAAGUUAAGAUUGAGUUCAAUCCAUAUGGUUUUGGAUUUGUCAUUAUCUUUGUCUUGUGAUUAUGGUUUGACAAAUUCAUAUGGGUAGGAACUCAUACACCAUAUAAAUCUAAGUGUCAUAAGGUUUCUCUCCGAUUCAUGAAAAUGAUGGUGAGGAAACACUUUCACUAAGUAGAUUUUAUCUAGAUAGCAAUUGUGAUAUUUGCAUUCUCAAAGUCGUUAGUGGAGCGCGUGUGGUUAACCGGCACACUAACCUGGACUUGUGAGAAGUGGCAAAAAGGUCUAACCAUUAUGAUUACGGCAUACCUCUUCAUAAUUGUUUAGACACACAAGUGUGCUAUCUAAGGGAAGGUGUAUGAUUUUGAUAAAGUUUUAUCAAAACAAUCUAGCAUCAGAAAUCUGAACUUUGGUAAGAAAGUCAAUGAAGUAUUGAUUUCUAGAAGUCCAGCUGAUUUCUGAGUACAUGUCAAAGCUAGUGGGAGCAUAAGUGUUAUGCUAAUAAUCAUCAUGUUAGUGGGAGCAUGAUAAUUAUGAUAAGUAUUGCAAGUUAGCAAUGUUAAUUAUAGAAAACAAAAGUUUCAAUUGGGAAAAAGUUGUUUUGCUAUAAUUAAGGGAGAGGAAAUUAUACUUCAUCUCAAAUCUAUAAGCUUAGAUCGUGAGGUUUUAAUCAUUUAGUCAAGGAUAUAUAUGAAUUUCAUGUUGGAAUGGCUCAACAUAAGGAAAUUCUGUAUAUGGGUCCAUUAUUUGCGUUCUAAAAUUCGAUUAUGAUUACGGCAUCCCUUUUCAUAAUCUGAAUUAUGAGAACUUGGCAAAUUGAAAUGGAAAUAUUAUAGCAAAAGACUGGUUUAGUCUUUAUGUAAGACAUCAUGAAUCGUGUCCCAUAUGCUUCGGAUAUAGGAUCGAUUACAUGUGCUAUAUUCAUCCGUUCUAAAAUUUUCCAAAUGCCUGGGGCAUUAAGAAGGGAAAAGGUUUAGAACUGGAUAUGACUAAAAGGAUUAAACAAUUGUCGAGGACAAUCUAAGGUUUACCAAAGAUUGGUUGCUCAAGGACAGUUGGAAGUAUAGUGAUAAUUCUGGAAGGACCAUAUUGACAUAAUCUGUAAGGAGGCAACUCUUGUUCAGAAGUGAUAGUCAAAAUGGAAUCUGGAAAUGUUUCAAAGUUAGAAUUUUCAAUCUGUUUAAGAUUAGGAAACUUAAUGCAAGAAGGAUGUUUCCAAGGAGCUGAUCUCCUUUGGAAUACUCUGUAAUGAUUGUUGUCAAGUCUUUCUGACUUUGUGCAUAAUCAUUACAAGAGGAUCAAUGCAUAUAAGUUUAGAAUCUAACAGAUUUCAGUAAAUGGCAUGAAUUUGGAAUUCUUGCAUUUGCAGUAAGGAUUUGGGAGUGUGAAAAGAGAAUCAUUGAAGUUAUGUUCAAUUGAUCUAGUUCACAAAGUAAAGAUCAUAGACAAACAUAGUAUGCAUACUUGGUGUGUGGCAUGACUAGUGUUUAAGAAAACAUAGUGUACAUGCUUGGAGCAUGGGACAACUAUUGUUUUAAAUUCAAGAAUAAAGUUGAUAGCUGAAACAGUAUACAAUGAAUAAUGUGUAAUCAUAUGGUGAUAAAUAAAAGGUGUUUUAUUUAUGUUCAAAGUUUUGAUACCAUAUUGGAUUCAAUUAUUAUUGUGUUUCACUUUGCAUGUUUUGACUUCCCGAAUAAACUAGGUUAUUCUUCCGGAAUGACUAAGUUAUUCAAACCAUCCACAGUCGGUCAUAUGUUGGAAGUAGAUAUGAAUUAAGACUGUCAUGGGUUGGCUUGUAGAGGUCUAAGGUGUUGGACAAAGGGCUACAACACUCAUGAGUGCUCAUAAGUUCUGAGUAUUGGAUUCAACCCGCGCUCAUUGGAAUCACUUCAUGGAUUUUAUCACGAGUGAUCAUGAGACGAUAAUAUCUUAUAUUCUUCAAACCUAGAGAUAUGAGUUGUUACUAUGAGUUGAUAGUACAUUGAUUGCACGAAAACGCAUUUGGUAACUCGGUGCUAUAAAACGUGCCUUUGUGUAUGAUUCAACAAGUAGUAGAACAAGCCAUAUGAGUCGAAGUUUAUCCGUUCCUUUUACCUUCGGGAUAAAAGCGAUAUCUGUGGGCCCCUCGAUGAUUUGAUGAUGACAAAUGGAAGUGCUCGGCCGGGCCAGGACUGAUUUGAUUUGUUCAAUUAGUCAGUCGUCAUAAAUCGGAAAUCGGGAAACAACAAAUGGACAGAGAGAAUGAUUAUAAUCCAUGUCUCAGUCCAUAUGAUAUCUAGAAUGGAGGAAUAUAUGAUCCCUUAUCUAAUGGACAAGUCAUUGACAAAGGUCAGAGUUCAUCGACAAGGUCAGAGUUCGACAGAAGCUUUUGAGAGCUACGAUUGCCAGUUGGUUCCUGAAGUCAUACGCAAUAAUAGUUUUAGACUUAUCCAAGUGGGAGACUGUUGGAUUAAUGUCUAAGUCCAUAACUAUAAUUGGUAAGACUUGACCCGACCCGGCAUGGUCCAUUUGGGUUGCAUGGCAUCAUGCACUUGGAUAGACUAGAUGAGAGAAAUAAGACACUUAUGGUUAUUAAUAUAUUAUAAGUUCUAGUAUAUUAAUAAUAAGAAUAAUGAGAUUAUUUAAUUAGUAUUGAUCAAGAAUUAAUCUAGGAUUAAUUAAGUGAUCAAAAGAAGACUAAUUAAAUAUAUGGGUUGAUUGUGUAAAUCAUCCAUACUUGUAUAGUGGGCUAAUGCUCCAUGGAUAAUCAAGUUGGGCUAAAACCCAUAGGAUGGUCCAUGGAUGCUCCAUGGUGUAUUUGUACCCAUGGAUCCAAGGAAAUGGAAAGCCAUGACAAUUAAGAGUUUACCCUAAUUGUAACACUAUAUAAGCAUCAUAUUAUUCACCAAAAUUGGCACUAGUGAGUGUACUAGAAGGGCUAGCCGAUUUCAUGAAGUGUGGGUUUUUCUCUCAAGUCAUUCCAUGUGUAUUUGGUGUUGUGUGAACCAUUUGAGGUGUCACACUUGGGGCACUAGGCACUCAAGCUUCAUGAAGACUUUCUACAUCAAAGAGGUAUGUAUUCUAUCUUGUUAUAUUCAUUGUUUUGUAUGCUAGAUUAGGAUAAUACCUUGGAAGUUCUUAUUUGCAUGUAUAAUAGAGAAAACAUAGAUCCAAGGUAUUUAGGGUUGCAUGUACACUUAGGAGUGUUAGAAUGCUCAAAACCCAACACCUACAUCCUCCAAGAUCAGCAUCCGGAAAUGCUUGCACAAAGAAACCGACUUUGAGGAGUACCAUAUUCCAAGUGAAGAUGUUCAUUUAAGAUACUUGAAUAUUGAAG